RNAcentral lists this ribosomal RNA (1041 nucleotides) under Triticum aestivum (bread wheat). RNAcentral's name for it is "partial small subunit ribosomal RNA". Lineage: Eukaryota; Viridiplantae; Streptophyta; Magnoliopsida; Poales; Poaceae. The record is from RNAcentral.
AUGACGAUCUGCGCGGGCGUCGAUUCCUACCGGGCGUCGCCGGCGGACAUGCGGGUCGUGACGUCGGACGGGCAGAGCAUCGCCGCGCAUUCCUACAUUCUUGCCUCGGCGUCGCCGGUGCUGGAGCGGAUGAUCGACAGGGCGCAGCGCGGGUGGGGCGCCGAGUGCACCAUCCCCGUCCUCGGCGUCUCCUUCGACGCCGUCCACGCCUUCAUCCACUUCCUCUACUCCUCCAAGUCCAAGGUGGUGCCCGCGGAGGAGGAGGCGGUGGGCGCGAACUGGACGCAGCUGCUGGCGCUGGCGCACGCGUACCGGGUGGGGUGGCUGAAGCGGGCGGCGGAGGCGGCCGUGUCGGCGCGCCUGACGCCGGAGCGCGCCGUGGACAUGCUGAAGCUGGCGAGGCUCUGCGACGCGCCGCGGCUGUACAUGCGGUGCGCGCGCCUCGCGGCCAAGGAGUUCGCGGCCGUGGAGCAGUCCGACGGGUGGCGCUUCGCGCGGCGCCACGACGCCGCGCUGGAGCUCGAGCUCCUCACGCUCCUCGAGGACGCCGACCAGCGGAACGAGCGUUGGGCGCGCGAGAGGGCCGCGCAGGAGGCGUGCCGGCAGCUCGGUCAGGCCAUGGCCUCCCUCGAGCACAUCUUCCCCGGCGAGUCCGGCGCCAAGGCCGCCUGCGCGGACGCGGACGCGCCGUGCGCGAGGGCGGGGUGCACGUGCCGGGGCCUGCAGGUGCUGAUGCGGCACUUCGCGACGUGCGCGAGAAAGAUGGCGCCCGGCGGGUGCGCGCGGUGCAAGCGCAUGCUGCAGCUGUUCCGGCUCCACGCCUCCGUCUGCGACCGGCCGGACCGGGCCUGCCGUGUGCCGCUUUGCAGCCAUUUCAAGGCGAAAUCGCAGAUGGGGAAAGCGGACAAGACAUGGCGGCUUCUGGUGAAGAAGGUGACGAGGGCCAAGGUGAUGUCCUCCAUGGCCGAGAGGAAGGUGGUGCCGGAGGUCGUGGCCGAGUCAUGGGCGAGGUACAACCGUAGAGGAGCCAAGUUGAGAUGA